RNAcentral lists this ribosomal RNA (468 nucleotides) under uncultured bacterium. RNAcentral's name for it is "partial 16S ribosomal RNA". It matches the Rfam family "Bacterial small subunit ribosomal RNA", at positions 28 to 507 of the family's 1533-position model. The record is from RNAcentral.
GACGAACGCUGGCGGCGUGCUUAACACAUGCAAGUCGAACGGAAAGGCCCUGCUUUUGUGGGGUGCUCGAGUGGCGAACGGGUGAGUAACACGUGAGUAACCUGCCCUUUACUUUGGGAUAACUUCAGGAAACUGGGGCUAAUACCGGAUAGGAGCUCCUGCUGCAUGGUGGGGUUUGGAAAGUUUCGGCGGUUGGGGAUGUACUCGCGGCUUAUCAGCUUGUUGGUGGGGUAGUGGCUUACCAAGGCUUUGACGGGUAGCCGGCCUGAGAGGGUGACCGGCGACAUUGGGACUGAGAUACGGACCAGACUCCUACGGGAGGCAGCAGUGGGGAAUAUUGCACAAUGGGCGGAAGCCUGAUGCAGAAGCGCCGCGAGCGGGAUGACGGCCUUGGGGUUGUAAACCGCUUUCGCCUGUGACGAAGCGUGAGUGACGGUAAUGGGUAAAGAAGCACCGGCUAACUACGUG